Molecule: ribosomal RNA, 524 nt
Filed under: Streptomyces tendae
Lineage: Bacteria; Bacillati; Actinomycetota; Actinomycetes; Kitasatosporales; Streptomycetaceae
Description: bacterial SSU rRNA
Rfam family: Bacterial small subunit ribosomal RNA
Source: RNAcentral
UAGUGGCGAACGGGUGAGUAACACGUGGGCAAUCUGCCCUGCACUCUGGGACAAGCCCUGGAAACGGGGUCUAAUACCGGAUACUGACCCUCGCAGGCAUCUGCGAGGUUCGAAAGCUCCGGCGGUGCAGGAUGAGCCCGCGGCCUAUCAGCUUGUUGGUGAGGUAAUGGCUCACCAAGGCGACGACGGGUAGCCGGCCUGAGAGGGCGACCGGCCACACUGGGACUGAGACACGGCCCAGACUCCUACGGGAGGCAGCAGUGGGGAAUAUUGCACAAUGGGCGAAAGCCUGAUGCAGCGACGCCGCGUGAGGGAUGACGGCCUUCGGGUUGUAAACCUCUUUCAGCAGGGAAGAAGCGAAAGUGACGGUACCUGCAGAAGAAGCGCCGGCUAACUACGUGCCAGCAGCCGCGGUAAUACGUAGGGCGCAAGCGUUGUCCGGAAUUAUUGGGCGUAAAGAGCUCGUAGGCGGCUUGUCACGUCGGUUGUGAAAGCCCGGGGCUUAACCCCGGGUCUGCAGUCGA